UCUCCUCCUCUUGUCCCACAGCCGCGACCCCCAACCCUCUCGCUCCUCCUCCGUCUCAAUCUCUCGAUCCCCGACCACCACUGCCGCCGUCCUUCGUCCUCUCCCCCAACCUUGUCCGCCGGCGACCCCUCCCCUCCCCUUCUCUCCCACGACCGCGGUCGGAUCCGCGUUCCCUUCUCGCUCGUGACCUAGACCUAGCAGCAUGGCACGACCAUGGCCAUGGCGGCGGCCAGAUCCGCCCCCUCCCCUGCUCCGUUCCCUCGACGCCGGCGGUCAUUCUCCCUUAGGCCACCCGCCCCCCUUCCUCCUCCCGCAGCAGCUCACCCGCAGCCUUCCCCGUGGCUCUAGGGUUUUGGGGGCAGUGGCGCCUCCAUUGCCGGCAUGGCUCCGGUGACUCUACAGCCUCCCCCCCUGACAUCUACCAAUCUGAGACAGCUGUGUCUCCGACUUGUCGCUUCCCAAUGGCUGCUGCUGGACCGGAUCCCUCCUCUUUGCAUGGAUGCUUCCUCGACUCUCCCUCCUCCCCAACAAGGCCGCCGUCGGACACCUUCUUCCCCGACAGCGCCGGCCGCAGAUCCACUCCUCCAUUUUCUUCUCACGGUUAUCCGCAGCAUAUAUGACUCAGAUCUAACCUUUUUGUUGUGUGUCUGGUUUUUCAGGAUGUGGGUGGUGCAGUGGCCGCAAGAACACGAUCGGCAGCGUCUAGGUCGGGUCGACUAGGGCGGCUGACAGCGGUGGCUACUUCCUUACAAGGACUACAAGCUCGCCCAUGACUACACGACCCUCCAGGUCCCAUCUGCAUGCUCGCUCCCUCCAGGUCCCAUCUGACUGCUCAGGGUGGACGAAUUGUAGUUUUAUGCAUGUAACUCAGUCUGCUUGGACAACACUAGCAUGUUACUAUGUACUACUACUGUUCAAGAAGUUUCAUGAGUUGCUAGUGCCGCACUUCUCUAGUUUCAUUGAUGGUGUUUAACAGUACUUGCCCUUGUAUCCUUUAUUCAAUCUCGGAUUUCAUCAUAAAUCAUAAUGGACUACUCUUCUGUUGAAUGUUGAUUGGCGCACUAUUCUGUUGUUGCCAAGUAGAGGAAUAAGAGGAUAUAUGAAGUUUACUAAUGAUGUUUCAUGCAAGUGGGGUUACCCAAUGUUGGCAAAUCAACUUUCUUUAACAUAGUAACAAAGGCGGGCUCCCGCGCUGGCAACUCUAGGCUUGCGAUGAAGAAGAUCAAGGCUGAGAAGGACCCCAACAAGCCCACGUGUCCCCGAGCACUUUUUUCAUCUUCAUCUGAGUCCCAGUCUCGGUUCUUGGUUCGAUUCAUGUUGCUUCUGUGGUGUGGUGUCGCGUACUGACCGAGGAUUUGGUGCAUGUUUCAUCUUUGCAGGGACAACUUUAGGAAGGAGUACAAGGAGAAUCACCCCGACAUCAAGAAGGUCUCCUUGAUCGGCAAGGCCGGUGGUGAGAAGUGGAAGUCCAUGAGUGAUGCUAUAAGUUGCAUGUCUCCCCUCCCCUCUCUGUUACCGCUCAAUUGGGUGUCGGUUUACUCGUUUCUACCGCUUCGUCCCCCAUCCGCCUCUGUCUCGUUGUUCGUUCAAACUGGUGGCGCUGCGAGAUGAGUUUCCUCGUUAAUUCCGUGUCCUGAUAUGGUUUAGCUUGGUUGAAUUACAGAUCGGCAAGGCCGGUGGUGAGAAGUGGAAGUCCAAGAGUGAUGCUAUAAGUUGCAUGUCUCCCCUCCCCUCUCUGUUACCGCUCAAUUGGGUGUCGGUUUACUCGUUUCUAUCUUAGUUUGCCUAGUGUUCGAACCAGUUGGUCAGUUAGAUUUUGAAUGGUAGUAGCAGCAAACUGAUUUUUAUCAAAUAUAUCUCUAUUACCGCUCAAUUCGGUGCCGGUUUUCCAAUGGCAGUAGCAGCACACUGAUUUUUAUCAAUUAUAUCUUAUGCGAAGUUUAAGCGUAAUGUGUUGUAGUGAAGUAUUUUGCAUGACUUGCACUUGUGCAAUUAAUAUUCAUAUUGUGUCUAUGUUUUCUUGUAUGAAUGAGUAUCUCAUUUUGACUAGCUGGAGAACGAAAAGCAUGGUACUAGCUGAAUUUCUGUUGUCAUUUUAAAUGACUGUCCUUUUUUGAAACCCUUCCUAAUUUGUUUGCAGCCCUUCCUAAUUUUUUGUUCUUGUUCUAUUUGGAAAUGGAUGCAGCAGGUGCUCUUCUCUUGCACACGUCUGGCACCGACUCCGGCGCGUGGUGCUUCUUGAGGUGACUGGCAUGAUGGCGGUUAUGUACGGCGGCGACCACAAGCCCUCCGGUGAGUCGGCUCCAUCUUCUAGCCCUAGCUCCUGCUUUUCUGCUCCUGUAGCAUGCUCUGUUGGUUUAGAACACUAGCAGCAGUAGCGUACCAUGUAUGCGUACUAAACAGCAGGAGUUCAAUCACCUUGUGUACACUAGCAGCUUGCUUACAUAGAUUUCACUUUUGCUUGUGGUAGCCAUUAUGUCGUUGAAUCAUGUCUGUGUGUACUAAUCAUCAGUUAAUAGUAUUUGGCUUCUACGUGAUGGUCUGGGACUAAUUUAUGGUGAUGUGGAUAUACUUUGUGAUUUAAAGUUACUAAUCCAUGGUCUGCUGUCAUAUUAUGGUCUAAUAUUUUUUGUUUUGACUCUUUCUCCGGUGCGAGGAAAGCUGUGAGUAGAUGUUGAUGAUGCCAACUGGCUUGGCUGCUACCGUGAUGCAUGCGCCGGUCAAGCAAGACACAUGCAUAUACGUACAUGUCAGCAUAGUAGCAGAUAUUCCCUCUGUUCCUGCUAUAUUCAUGUGUAAAUGUAUUUCUGAGAUGAUUUUGUUGUGUUAUGUAAACCUGGGAGAUGUCUUAUGUGAUGUGAUAUGAUGCAUGAUUUCAAUUCGACAUGGAGUUUUCCUGAUUUGAAUAUGAACAAGGUCGGAUGCAUGUGUAUAACUAGAUU
This is a long non-coding RNA of Triticum dicoccoides, 2942 nucleotides long. RefSeq lists it as uncharacterized. The transcript has 3 exons. Lineage: Eukaryota; Viridiplantae; Streptophyta; Magnoliopsida; Poales; Poaceae. The record is from RefSeq and is a predicted model, not a curated record.